RNAcentral lists this ribosomal RNA (422 nucleotides) under uncultured bacterium. RNAcentral describes it as "partial 16S ribosomal RNA". It matches the Rfam family "Bacterial small subunit ribosomal RNA", at positions 360 to 774 of the family's 1533-position model. The record is from RNAcentral.
AAUUGUGGACAAUGGGGGAAAACCUGAUCCAGCCAUCCCGCGUGUAUGAUGAAGGCCUUCGGGUUGUAAAGUACUUUGGGCAGAGAAGAAAAGGUACCUCCUAAUACGAGGUACUGCUGACGGUAUGUGCAGCAUAAGCACCGGCUAACUACGUGCCAGCAGCCGCGGUAACACGUAGGGUGCAAGCGUUAAUCGGAAUUACUGGGCGUAAAUCGUGUGUAGGCGGUUCGGAAAGAAAGAUGUGAAAUCCCAGGGCUCAACCUUGGAACUGCAUUUUUAACUGCCGAGCUAGAGUAGGUCAGAGGGGAGUAGAAUUCCACGUGUAGCAGUGAAAUGCGUAGAUAUGUGGAGGAAUACCGAUGGCGAAGGCAGCCCCCUGGGAUAAUACUGACGCUCAGACACGAAAGCGUGGGGAGCAAACA